This 67-nucleotide ribosomal RNA is filed under the name Romboutsia faecis. Its description in RNAcentral is "partial 23S ribosomal RNA". Lineage: Bacteria; Bacillati; Bacillota; Clostridia; Peptostreptococcales; Peptostreptococcaceae. The record is from RNAcentral.
UGGUCAAGUUAUUAAGGGUGCAGGGCGGAUGCCUUGGCACUAGGAGCCGAUGAAGGACGUGAUAAGC